UGGCGAGCGGGUGAGUAACACGUGGGUGAUCUGCCCUGCACUUCGGGAUAAGCCUGGGAAACUGGGUCUAAUACCGGAUAGGAGCCAUUUUUAGUGUGAUGGUUGGAAAGUUUUUUCGGUGUAGGAUGAGCUCGCGGCCUAUCAGCUUGUUGGUGGGGUAAUGGCCUACCAAGGCGGCGACGGGUAGCCGGCCUGAGAGGGUGGACGGCCACAUUGGGACUGAGAUACGGCCCAG
Molecule: ribosomal RNA, 235 nt
Filed under: uncultured Actinomycetales bacterium
Lineage: Bacteria; Bacillati; Actinomycetota; Actinomycetes; Actinomycetales
Description: partial 16S ribosomal RNA
Rfam family: Bacterial small subunit ribosomal RNA
Source: RNAcentral